This 472-nucleotide ribosomal RNA is filed under the name uncultured bacterium. RNAcentral describes it as "bacterial SSU rRNA". It matches the Rfam family "Bacterial small subunit ribosomal RNA", at positions 30 to 504 of the family's 1533-position model. The record is from RNAcentral.
UGAACGCUGGCGGCAUGCCUAACACAUGCAAGUCGAACGCGAAAGUCACUUCGGUGGCGAGUAGAGUGGCGGACGGGUGAGUAACGCAUGGGAAUCUACCUUACAGUGGGGGACAACCCGAGGAAACUCGGGCUAAUACCGCAUACGACCUACGGGUGAAAGGGGGCUUCGGCUCUCGCUGUUGGAUGAGCCCAUGUCCGAUUAGCUUGUUGGUGAGGUAAAGGCUCACCAAGGCGACGAUCGGUAGCUGGUCUAAGCGGAUGAUCAGCCACACUGGGACUGAGACACGGCCCAGACUCCUACGGGAGGCAGCAGUGGGGAAUAUUGGACAAUGGGGGAAACCCUGAUCCAGCAAUGCCGCGUGUGUGAAGAAGGCCUGCGGGUUGUAAAGCACUUUCAGUGGGGAAGAAAAGCCGAGGGUUAAUACCCCUUGGUCUUGACGUUACCCACAGAAGAAGCACCGGCUAACUCC